CGUAGGGCGCAAGCGUUAUCCGGAAUUAUUGGGCGUAAAGAGCUCGUAGGCGGUUUGUCGCGUCUGCCGUGAAAGUCCGGGGCUCAACUCCGGAUCUGCGGUGGGUACGGGCAGACUAGAGUGAUGUAGGGGAGACUGGAAUUCCUGGUGUAGCGGUGAAAUGCGCGGAUAUCAGGAGGAACACCGAUGGCGAAGGCAGGUCUCUGGGCAUUAACUGACGCUGAGGAGCGAAAGCAUGGGGAGCGAACAGG
Molecule: ribosomal RNA, 251 nt
Filed under: uncultured bacterium
Lineage: Bacteria
Description: partial 16S ribosomal RNA
Rfam family: Bacterial small subunit ribosomal RNA
Source: RNAcentral